CCCUUAGUAGUUCAACGGGAGAACACCGACUGACAGCGUCAGCGGAGGAUAUUGGUUCGAAUCCAAUGUAAGGGC
This 75-nucleotide transfer RNA is filed under the name Caudoviricetes sp. Its description in RNAcentral is "tRNA-OTHER". It matches the Rfam family "tRNA". Rfam says of the family: Transfer RNA (tRNA) molecules are approximately 80 nucleotides in length. Their secondary structure includes four short double-helical elements and three loops (D, anti-codon, and T loops). The record is from RNAcentral. Lineage: Duplodnaviria; Heunggongvirae; Uroviricota; Caudoviricetes.